AACAGGAUUAGAUACCCUGGUAGUCCACGCCGUAAACGAUGUCGACUUGGAGGUUGUUCCCUUGAGGAGUGGCUUCCGGAGCUAACGCGUUAAGUCGACCGCCUGGGGAGUACGGCCGUAAGGUUAAAACUCAAAUGAAUUGACGGGGGCCCGCACAAGCGGUGGAGCAUGUGGUUUAAUUCGAUGCAACGCGAAGAACCUUACCUACUCUUGACAUCCACGGAAUUUGGCAGAGAUGCCUUAGUGCCUUCGGGAACCGUGAGACAGGUGCUGCAUGGCUGUCGUCAGCUCGUGUUGUGAAAUGUUGGGUUAAGUCCCGCAACGAGCGCAACCCUUAUCCUUUGUUGCCAGCGAUUCGGUCGGGAACUCAAAGGAGACUGCCGGUGAUAAACCGGAGGAAGGUGGGGAUGACGUCAAGUCAUCAUGGCCCUUACGAGUAGGGCUACACACGUGCUACAAUGGCGCAUACAAAGAGAAGCGACCUCGCGAGAGCAAGCGGACCUCACAAAGUGCGUCGUAGUCCGGAUCGGAGUCUGCAACUCGACUCCGUGAAGUCGGAAUCGCUAGUAAUCGUGGAUCAGAAUGCCACGGUGAAUACGUUCCCGGGCCUUGUACACACCGCCCGUCACACCAUGGGAGUGGGUUGCAAAAGAAGUAGGUAGCUUAACCUUCGGGAGGGCGCUUACCACUUUGUGAUUCAUGACUGGGGUGAAGUCGUAACAAGGUAACC
RNAcentral lists this ribosomal RNA (730 nucleotides) under uncultured bacterium. Its description in RNAcentral is "bacterial SSU rRNA". It matches the Rfam family "Bacterial small subunit ribosomal RNA", at positions 771 to 1501 of the family's 1533-position model. The record is from RNAcentral.